Long non-coding RNA from Lampris incognitus (smalleye Pacific opah), 383 nucleotides. RefSeq lists it as uncharacterized. The transcript has 4 exons. Lineage: Eukaryota; Metazoa; Chordata; Actinopteri; Lampriformes; Lampridae. The record is from RefSeq and is a predicted model, not a curated record.
CAGAGGGAGACCAGUCAGACUCGAGGACUAUCGUGGAGGACUACUGAUUGAUUGUUACCUUGGACAUCAGCGUGGUGAUGGAGGAUCUGCAGACAAAAACAUGCCGUCGCCUCGCCAGUCUGACUGAGUCGGUGCCGAGUGAAGGAGGGAGACGGGAACUGCCACAGCUUUGCCUGCACAGGCCAGCACAGCAGCCAUAAUGGAAUUCUUGGUCUACAUGGAAAGGUGGGCGUAGAGACCGACCCUGGAGCCACAUAAUGGGAGGACACCUGCAGGUGACAGCUUUUUACGUAGAGUGGCUGACACGCCUGCAGCCGCCAUGCAGUCCUUGGCAGGGUUUGGCCAGAGUCCAAUGGUAUGGAGAACCAAGACAACCGGGAUCA